CGGGGUAUAGCGCAGCCUGGUAGCGCACUUGUCUGGGGACAAGUGGUCGUCGGUUCAAAUCCGGCUACCCCGACCA
This 76-nucleotide transfer RNA is filed under the name Thermomonas brevis. RNAcentral describes it as "tRNA-OTHER". It matches the Rfam family "tRNA". From Rfam's summary of the family: Transfer RNA (tRNA) molecules are approximately 80 nucleotides in length. Their secondary structure includes four short double-helical elements and three loops (D, anti-codon, and T loops). The record is from RNAcentral. Lineage: Bacteria; Pseudomonadati; Pseudomonadota; Gammaproteobacteria; Lysobacterales; Lysobacteraceae.